This 105-nucleotide small RNA is filed under the name Martelella endophytica. RNAcentral describes it as "EcpR1". It matches the Rfam family "EcpR1". Rfam says of the family: Perviously named SmelC291, SmrC10, or Sra33. Lineage: Bacteria; Pseudomonadati; Pseudomonadota; Alphaproteobacteria; Hyphomicrobiales; Aurantimonadaceae. The record is from Rfam by way of RNAcentral.
AUACCCCAUGAUGCUCAGGUCCGCCGCAUCUCCUGGAGUCGUGGGGUCGGCCGGCCGAUGACCCAAAGGGAUUCCUCGUGUCCCGGGAAAUCGGUCGGCCGGUCU